UUAAGCGACUAAGCGUACACGGUGGAUGCCCUGGCAGUCAGAGGCGAUGAAGGRCGUGCUAAUCUGCGAUAAGCGCCGGUAAGGUGAUAUGAACCGUUAUAACCGGCGAUWYCCGAAUGGGGAAACCCAGUGUGACUCGUCACACUAUCAUUAACUGAAUCCAUAGGUUAAUGAGGCGAACCGGGGGAACUGAAACAUCUAAGUACCCCGAGGAAAAGAAAUCAACCGAGAUUCCCCCAGUAGCGGCGAGCGAACGGGGAGGAGCCCAGAGCCUGAAUCAGCAUGUGUGUUAGUGGAAGCGUCUGGAAAGGCGCGCGAUACAGGGUGACAGCCCCGUACACAAAARYGCAYRUGCUGUGAGCUCGAUGAGUAGGGCGGGACACGUGGUAUCCUGUCUGAAUAUGGGGGGACCAUCCUCCAAGGCUAAAUACUCCUGACUGACCGAUAGUGAACCAGUACCGUGAGGGAAAGGCGAAAAGAACCCCGGCGAGGGGAGUGAAAAAGAACCUGAAACCGUGUACGUACAAGCAGUGGGAGCACAGGUUUACCUGUGUGACUGCGUACCUUUUGUAUAAUGGGUCAGCGACUUAUAUUCUGUAGCAAGGUUAACCGMAUAGGGGAGCCGGAGGGAAACCGAGUCUUAAYYGGGCGUUAAGUUGCAGGGUAUAGACCCGAAACCCGGUGAUCUAGCCAUGGGCAGGUUGAAGGUUGGGUAACACUAACUGGAGGACCGAACCGACUAAUGUUGAAAAAUUAGCGGAUGACCUGUGGCUGGGGGUGAAAGGCCAAUCAAACCGGGAGAUAGCUGGUUCUCCCCGAAAGCUAUUUAGGUAGCGCCUCGUGAAUUCAUCUCCGGGGGUAGAGCACUGUUUCGGCUAGGGGGCCAUCCCGGCUUACCAACCCGAUGCAAACUGCGAAUACCGGAGAAUGUUAUCACGGGAGACACACGGCGGGUGCUAACGUCCGUCGUGAAGAGGGAAACAACCCAGACCGCCAGCUAAGGUCCCAAAGUCAUGGUUAAGUGGGAAACGAUGUGGGAAGGCCCAGACAGCCAGGAUGUUGGCUUAGAAGCAGCCAUCAUUUAAAGAAAGCGUAAUAGCUCACUGGUCGAGUCGGCCUGCGCGGAAGAUGUAACGGGGCUAAACCAUGCACCGAAGCUGCGGCAGCGAACGUAUCACUUAAAGCGAUUCAGCGGGUUACGAUUGACGGAGCGAAGCGACGUCAAAGCGUAUACAAAGUCGAGUCGGUUUAAGGAUACGUUCGUUGGGUAGGGGAGCGUUCUGUAAGCCUGYGAAGGUGGCCUGUGARGGUUGCUGGAGGUAUCAGAAGUGCGAAUGCUGACAUAAGUAACGAUAAAGCGGGUGAAAAGCCCGCUCGCCGGAAGACCAAGGGUUCCUGUCCAACGUUAAUCGGGGCAGGGUGAGUCGACCCCUAAGGCGAGGCCGAAAGGCGUAGUCGAUGGGAAACGGGUUAAUAUUCCCGUACUUGGUGUUACUGCGAAGGGGGGACGGAGAAGGCUAUGUUGGCCGGGCGACGGUUGUCCCGGUUUAAGCGUGUAGGUGUGUGUUCCAGGUAAAUCCGGUUCACUUUAACACUGAGGCGUGAYGACGAGGCACUACGGUGCUGAAGCAACAAAUGCCCUGCUUCCAGGAAAAGCCUCUAAGCAUCAGGUAACAUCAAAUCGUACCCCAAACCGACACAGGUGGUCAGGUAGAGAAUACCAAGGCGCUUGAGAGAACUCGGGUGAAGGAACUAGGCAAAAUGGUGCCGUAACUUCGGGAGAAGGCACGCUGACACGUAGGUGAAGUGAUUUACUCAUGGAGCUGAAGUCAGUCGAAGAUACCAGCUGGCUGCAACUGUUUAUUAAAAACACAGCACUGUGCAAACACGAAAGUGGACGUAUACGGUGUGACGCCUGCCCGGUGCCGGAAGGUUAAUUGAUGGGGUCAGCGCAAGCGAAGCUCCUGAUCGAAGCCCCGGUAAACGGCGGCCGUAACUAUAACGGUCCUAAGGUAGCGAAAUUCCUUGUCGGGUAAGUUCCGACCUGCACGAAUGGCGUAAUGAUGGCCAGGCUGUCUCCACCCGAGACUCAGUGAAAUUGAACUCGCUGUGAAGAUGCAGUGUACCCGCGGCAAGACGGAAAGACCCCGUGAACCUUUACUAUAGCUUGACACUGAACAUUGAGCCUUGAUGUGUAGGAUAGGUGGGAGGCUUUGAAGUGUGGACGCCAGUCUGCAUGGAGCCGACCUUGAAAUACCACCCUUUAAUGUUUGAUGUUCUAACGUGGACCCGURAUCCGGGUUGCGGACAGUGUCUGGUGGGUAGUUUGACUGGGGCGGUCUCCUCCUAAAGAGUAACGGAGGAGCACGAAGGUUGGCUAAUCCUGGUCGGACAUCAGGAGGUUAGUGCAAUGGCAUAAGCCAGCUUGACUGCGAGCGUGACGGCGCGAGCAGGUGCGAAAGCAGGUCAUAGUGAUCCGGUGGUUCUGAAUGGAAGGGCCAUCGCUCAACGGAUAAAAGGUACUCCGGGGAUAACAGGCUGAUACCGCCCAAGAGUUCAUAUCGACGGCGGUGUUUGGCACCUCGAUGUCGGCUCAUCACAUCCUGGGGCUGAAGUAGGUCCCAAGGGUAUGGCUGUUCGCCAUUUAAAGUGGUACGCGAGCUGGGUUUAGAACGUCGUGAGACAGUUCGGUCCCUAUCUGCCGUGGGCGCUGGAGAACUGAGGGGGGCUGCUCCUAGUACGAGAGGACCGGAGUGGACGCAUCACUGGUGUUCGGGUUGUCAUGCCAAUGGCACUGCCCGGUAGCUAAAUGCGGAAGAGAURAGUUCUCCCUGAGACUUAGAGUCUCCUGAAGGAACGUUGAAGACGACGACGUUGAUAGGCCGGGUGUGUAAGCGCAGCGAUGCGUUGAGCUAACCGGUACUAAUGAACCGUGAGGCUUAACCU
Molecule: ribosomal RNA, 2946 nt
Filed under: Salmonella enterica
Lineage: Bacteria; Pseudomonadati; Pseudomonadota; Gammaproteobacteria; Enterobacterales; Enterobacteriaceae
Description: 23S ribosomal RNA
Source: RNAcentral